Molecule: ribosomal RNA, 1029 nt
Filed under: Bacillus sp. Y10
Lineage: Bacteria; Bacillati; Bacillota; Bacilli; Caryophanales; Bacillaceae
Description: bacterial SSU rRNA
Rfam family: Bacterial small subunit ribosomal RNA
Source: RNAcentral
GAUCGUGCAGGUACCAGGUUUUGGAGCUUGCGUCCCCAAUGUUAGCGGCGGACGGGUGAGUAACACGUGGGUAACCUGCCUGUAAGACUGGGAUAACUCCGGGAAACCGGAGCUAAUACCGGAUAGUUCCUUGAACCGCAUGGUUCAAGGAUGAAAGACGGUUUCGGCUGUCACUUACAGAUGGACCCGCGGCGCAUUAGCUAGUUGGUGGGGUAAUGGCUCACCAAGGCGACGAUGCGUAGCCGACCUGAGAGGGUGAUCGGCCACACUGGGACUGAGACACGGCCCAGACUCCUACGGGAGGCAGCAGUAGGGAAUCUUCCGCAAUGGACGAAAGUCUGACGGAGCAACGCCGCGUGAGUGAUGAAGGUUUUCGGAUCGUAAAGCUCUGUUGUUAGGGAAGAACAAGUGCGAGAGUAACUGCUCGCACCUUGACGGUACCUAACCAGAAAGCCACGGCUAACUACGUGCCAGCAGCCGCGGUAAUACGUAGGUGGCAAGCGUUGUCCGGAAUUAUUGGGCGUAAAGGGCUCGCAGGCGGUUUCUUAAGUCUGAUGUGAAAGCCCCCGGCUCAACCGGGGAGGGUCAUUGGAAACUGGGAAACUUGAGUGCAGAAGAGGAGAGUGGAAUUCCACGUGUAGCGGUGAAAUGCGUAGAGAUGUGGAGGAACACCAGUGGCGAAGGCGACUCUCUGGUCUGUAACUGACGCUGAGGAGCGAAAGCGUGGGGAGCGAACAGGAUUAGAUACCCUGGUAGUCCACGCCGUAACGAUGAGUGCUAAGUGUUAGGGGGUUUCCGCCCCUUAGUGCUGCAGCUAACGCAUUAAGCACUCCGCCUGGGGGAGUACGGUCGCAAGACUGAAACUCAAAGGAAUUGACGGGGGGCCCGCACAAGUCGGUGGGAGCAUGUGGUUUAAUUCGAAGCAACGCGAAGANCUUACCAGGUCUUGACAUUCCUCUGACAACCCUAGAGAUAGGGCUUUCCCUUCGGGGACAGAGUGACAGUGGUGCAUGGGUUGUCGUCAGCCUC